Molecule: ribosomal RNA, 494 nt
Filed under: uncultured bacterium
Lineage: Bacteria
Description: partial 16S ribosomal RNA
Rfam family: Bacterial small subunit ribosomal RNA
Source: RNAcentral
GACGAACGCUGGCGGCGUGCUUAACACAUGCAAGUCGAACGGAAAGGCCUGCUUUCCCUUGUGGAUUGCGGGUACUCGAGUGGCGAACGGGUGAGUAACACGUGAGUGAUCUGCCCCCAACUUGGGUAUAAGCCUGGGAAACUGGGUCUAAUUCCCGAUAGGACUGCAGGGUGGUGCCUGUGGUGGAAAACGAUUUUCUAGUGGUUGUGGAUGAGCUCGCGGCCUAUCAGCUUGUUGGUGGGGUAAUGGCCUACCAAGGCGGCGACGGGUAGCCGGCCUGAGAGGGUGGACGGCCACAUUGGGACGGAGAUACGGCCCAGACUCCUACGGGAGGCAGCAGUGGGGAAUAUUGCACAAUGGGCGGAAGCCUGAGGCAGCGACGCCGCGUGGGGGAUGACGGCCUUCGGGUUGUAAACUCCUUUCGACCGCGAGGAAGCCACCUGGUUGGAAGGGUGGUGACGGUAGUGGUAGAAGAAGCACCGGCUAACUACGUG